Long non-coding RNA from Bombyx mori (domestic silkworm), 263 nucleotides. RefSeq lists it as uncharacterized. The record is from RefSeq and is a predicted model, not a curated record. Lineage: Eukaryota; Metazoa; Arthropoda; Insecta; Lepidoptera; Bombycidae. The transcript has 2 exons.
UCUUAUUUCUGACCUGAAGAAGUAAUCUGUUUGAACGCAGCCUUCCAGUACUAGAACUCAUGUCUCUAGGACAAUAAAGCGGUGCUUGGUCGGCGUGUCGGAAGUUGACAGGUGCCAAUCUUGUACGUGCGCACACAUAAGGUUGAUGCAGACGGGGUGAAUUUUUAGAAGUAUACCUACUGAAAUUAACUUGACCAAGGCUAUGAAUCUUAGAGAAAAGAAUAUAACCAAACCUUCAAUAUACGAUUUAAAUUAUAAUUAAA